GGCUGGUCUGAAGGUAGUGAGUUAUCUCACUCGAUUGUUCAGUCAGUUACAGAUUGAACUCCUUGUUCUACUACUUUCCACCUUCCUCACUGCUGUAUUUGACUAUUCUUAA
Molecule: Y RNA, 112 nt
Filed under: Propithecus coquereli (Coquerel's sifaka)
Lineage: Eukaryota; Metazoa; Chordata; Mammalia; Primates; Indriidae
Description: Y RNA (ENSPCOG00000001741.1)
Rfam family: Y RNA
About the family: Y RNAs are components of the Ro ribonucleoprotein particle (Ro RNP), in association with Ro60 and La proteins. The Y RNAs and Ro60 and La proteins are well conserved, but the function of the Ro RNP is not known.
Source: Rfam by way of RNAcentral